ACCCAUUGAAUCUGGGCCAAACUUCAAAUAUUAAUGCAAUAACUCAGCGUAUCCGUACUGGACAAAUGACUCCGGCACAAGCUGCUCUGCUGUCAUCAAGAUUUAUGGUACAGAGCAGAACUGGUAUGCUAGGGGGCCCUCAGUCAGGCAUAGCUGGGAUGUCAGGAGCCAGACAGAUGCACCCAGGUUCUACUGGGCUUUCCAUGCUGGGCCAGCCUUUGAACCGAGCUAAUACAAGUACAAUGCAGCGGAGUGCAAUGGGUCCACCAAAAUUGAUGUCAGGGAUGAACCUCUAUGUCAACCAACAGCAGCAACUGCAGUUACAACAACAACAACAACAACAACAAU
RNAcentral lists this unclassified non-coding RNA (348 nucleotides) under Hevea brasiliensis (rubber tree). Lineage: Eukaryota; Viridiplantae; Streptophyta; Magnoliopsida; Malpighiales; Euphorbiaceae. The record is from RNAcentral.